CUGACUUCAGCGGCAGGUAUACUAAAAUUAGAAUGACACAGAGGAGAUUAGCAUGGCCCCCUGUGCAAGGAAGAUCCAGAUUCAUGCCGCAUUCCAUAUUUUU
Molecule: small nuclear RNA, 103 nt
Organism: Homo sapiens (human)
Lineage: Eukaryota; Metazoa; Chordata; Mammalia; Primates; Hominidae
Source: Ensembl